GUUUUUUGUAUCCUGCCUAGCACUGGCUGAGGGAGCAGAAGGACUGUGUUGCACCGCACAUCCAAUGUCUUCUUGAGUUUCCUCUCUCUAAUUCUGAGAAAAUUACUGCUCUGAAGCUACUUCCAUACUGCAGAGCCAGGAUCGCACAGCAGCUGUGUUCAGGAUAUACUGGAGGCAAGACGUGCUGCAGCAUUGCAGCAGCUGGUACAGCCGGGGAAGGAACAGCCUGCUCCCAACAGGAUGCGCUUCUCUGACUGUUUGCGCAAAAGCCUUGGAUUCCUGAAAAGUGUGAUGGUCCUCCCCCAAGAAAAAAGUGUCGUUUGACCUUGUAAAUGACUCUUCCUGUAGAAUUCCUACAAAAGCUGCUUUCUAUUGCAGGAGUAAUUUGCAAGUUAAUGGGGAGAGAAUAAGGGUGUCUGUCAGGCUGUAAACACUGGCAGCCUGAGCAAGGAGCAUCCUUGGAUACCUCAGUGCCACCUUGUCUCUAUCUGAAGCUGAAAAGUGCACAUGGAUCUUUAUACCUUUCCCUUAGUAUGAUUUGUCUUGCCUUAAGAAAAGGAGAAAAAAAAAAAAGAAAAAAAAGUGUGUGUGUGUUCCACGAUUUCUUGUGCAAGGAAGACUCCUGUGUAUAUGAGUGUCAAUUUCCAGGCUCAGCUCCUGCUGUCCUUCGAAGCUAUGGAGGAGUUUGCUUUAUAAGGGGAAGAUGCAGCAAAUUUCUUAAAGAUGUUUGGAAUAUGAGGAUGUCAGCCAAGUCUCAGAGAACUUGUUGGGGGCUAGUGGCAGCCCUACCUGCAUUUUCUGAUAAGUUCUCUUUUAGAGGGAUUCCCUUUCUAGAGACCUAA
RNAcentral lists this long non-coding RNA (842 nucleotides) under Anser cygnoides (Swan goose). RNAcentral describes it as "lncRNA (ENSACDG00005011618.1)". The record is from RNAcentral. Lineage: Eukaryota; Metazoa; Chordata; Aves; Anseriformes; Anatidae.